UUCGGGAAAAGAAUCUUUGUCGUAUCAACAGGUCUUAGUGAACGACAAGAACUCGUAACGUUAUCGUCGGUCACACACAUUGAACUAGAGAACAUUGGAGGUUGAGUCGAGGUUUGAAACGUAGGAUAUUAGAUGAAUUUGUAGCAAACAAUAUACGAAGUGCAAUCAUACGUCGUAUUGGUUUCA
This is a long non-coding RNA of Bradysia coprophila, 186 nucleotides long. RefSeq lists it as uncharacterized. The record is from RefSeq and is a predicted model, not a curated record. Lineage: Eukaryota; Metazoa; Arthropoda; Insecta; Diptera; Sciaridae.